GAACUUAAGCAGGAAAAGAAGAAAGCUGAAAACACACUGAGGAUUAUGGGAGAGGGGCAAGUGCAUGAAGCUUCUCAAUGACAUACAGACACUCUAAAAGCUCAAGAGAUCAAUUAUUCAACUUCAAGAACUGAAAUUUGAACACAGAUUUUGAGCUUCCAAAUCAGCUGCUAAUAUGGGAAAGAUUGAAAUCAGCAAGUUUCUGGCUGUAAGCUAAAAGAGGCUCUUGAAUCAUAUUUCCGCCUGCUUAGCAAAUUUCUCUUGCGACAAUUGGAUGUUAUUUGGGGUUCCAUACUAGCAGGAAGAAGUACAAGCAAAGCUAAGUCAUUUUGAGAAUAAAUAUUAUCUCUCUAUAUAUUUGUAAAUGUUAUUUUCUUUUUUUUUGAGGUUUAUGAUUGAUCCUUGGCAUGUGUCCCCUUGUGUAUUGCUCUACUAAAAAUAGCCUAAAAAAGAAUUUUCCCCUCGAUGUGGAGCUUCUCUUUAGUUACAAUUCUACUUUCUCCUUCACUUGAGUAUCAGUCUUCAGAGAACUACCAUAACAAAGGAGUGGAUACAGAUAUACGCAAAAAAGUCUAUGAGAAAAUUAGUACAUUAAAUUUGUGAAAGCUCAUUUAAAGUAAUUUUCUACUAACAAUUUUAAUCAAAUGUAUUAAUCAUAUUUCUAUGCUUAGUGAUGUUAAAUAAAAAUUUAAAAGGUGGCAAUCAAUAAACAGAGAUAAAAGCUUCUCAAGAAUAAAUGAAAGGAAGUAAUAAAAAGACUCACUAAGCUGAAUUGCCUCCUAUCAACAGCAGCUGAUAAAAUAUUAAAAGAUUUGCCUUGUGUAAUGUCUCUGGAGAGCUGUCUUACUGAUGUACGAGGCCAUGAUUGACAACUUUGAGACUUUGCUGGAAGCGACAAAAGUAUAUCUAUAAUAUUAUGCUGAAUUGCAUAGGUCUUUCUUCUUAAAUGAGGCUAGAAAUAACAUACCACCAAGUGUUUGGCUUUUAGGAAAUUGAGCAUUUUCUUUAGUUCUAGCUGCAGUUUAAUUUCCUCAGAAUUAGACAUUAUGCGGUAUCUGGAACGUUAAAAAAAAAAAAAA
Molecule: long non-coding RNA, 1079 nt
Filed under: Homo sapiens (human)
Lineage: Eukaryota; Metazoa; Chordata; Mammalia; Primates; Hominidae
Description: long intergenic non-protein coding RNA 1473
Source: RNAcentral